UACGAAGGGGGCUAGCGUUGUUCGGAAUUACUGGGCGUAAAGCGCGCGUAGGCGGCUUGAUCAGUCAGAGGUGAAAUCCCAGGGCUCAACCCUGGAACUGCCUUUGAUACUGUCAAGCUAGAGCUCGGAAGAGGGUGGCGGAAUAUCCAGUGUAGAGGUGAAAUUCGUAGAUAUUGGAUAGAACACCAGUGGCGAAGGCGGCCACCUGGUCCGUAGCUGACGCUGAGGUGCGAAAGCGUGGGGAGCAAACAGG
Molecule: ribosomal RNA, 253 nt
Filed under: uncultured bacterium
Lineage: Bacteria
Description: partial 16S ribosomal RNA
Rfam family: Bacterial small subunit ribosomal RNA
Source: RNAcentral